CGAAUCAUUAGAGCAUGUGCAUUGGGGUCUCUUAACUGGGUCUGUUAAGGGAAUUGGGAAUUAAAAAAAAAGAUAAAUUGCCAUUUAGUUAAGGGACGGACCCUAAUUAGGGGGUGGAAGGAACGUCUCUUCUGGGCCACGUGUUGGGAUAGUUUGUGAUUUUGAGAGGAAAACAAAAGUCGAAGGCGACGAAGAAGUCGGUGGAUUCCGCCAGAAAGAGUCUCGGUGGUCUGAUCGUGGGAGAAUCUCAGCGGUGGCUUUCGUAGCCGAAGAAUCGUCGGCGGAUUUCGUCGACGACCAAUCUCCGAUGAAGAACCUCGGUGGCGUUGCUCGAAGAAGAAUCUCGGUGGCUCUGAGAAUCGGAGAAUCUCUGUGGCUCUCCUUGACUGAGGAAAUCGGCGGCUCUCCUCUACAAACAAACUCCUCGGUUGGCGCCUAGUUUAAUCGAAAGGUUGAUGGUUUGGUCAAAGAGAGCAUAGGGAGCAUCCUUGUAUUUUCAGGUUGAUGGUUUGGUGGUAAGUAUAAUGGUUUGGACAAAGAGAUCACGGGCUCAGUUCUUCUGAUCAAGGGCUCAGUUCACAUGAAAUGUCUUCUACAGGCGUUGUAGCUUUGUAGUUUUGUGGUCAGCUGUUGUAGUUUUUGUAGUUUUGUGGUCAUGCGUUUUAGUUUUGUGAUCUCACGGUCCUUUUUGUAUUCACAAAGUUUUAUAAAACAUCAGUCUUCUUCUCUGCUCCGUGUGUAUCAAACUUCAUCAGUCACAAAUAUAUGGUUUUAUGAACCAAA
Brassica rapa (field mustard) is the source of this 783-nucleotide long non-coding RNA. RefSeq lists it as uncharacterized. The record is from RefSeq and is a predicted model, not a curated record. Lineage: Eukaryota; Viridiplantae; Streptophyta; Magnoliopsida; Brassicales; Brassicaceae.